Molecule: ribosomal RNA, 254 nt
Filed under: uncultured microorganism
Description: partial 16S ribosomal RNA
Rfam family: Archaeal small subunit ribosomal RNA
Source: RNAcentral
CACCGGCGGCUCGAGUGGUGGCCACUUUUAUUGGGUCUAAAGCGUCCGUAACCGGCUUGGCAAGUCCCCUGGGAAAUCUGGCGGCUUAACCGUCAGGCGUCCAGAGGAUACUGCCAGGCUUGGGACCGGGAGAGGUGAGAGGUACCUCAGGGGUAGGGGUGAAAUCUUGUGAUCCCUGAGGGACCACCAGUGGCGAAGGCGUCUCACUAGAACGGGUCCGACGGUCAGGGACGAAAGCUGGGGGCACGAACCGG